Molecule: microRNA, 21 nt
Filed under: Sarcophilus harrisii (Tasmanian devil)
Lineage: Eukaryota; Metazoa; Chordata; Mammalia; Dasyuromorphia; Dasyuridae
Description: Sha-Mir-7373-o7_3p (mature (co-guide))
Source: RNAcentral
AGGUAGAGAGGAGGGGUUUGC